GACGAACGCUGGCGGCGUGCUUAACACAUGCCAGUCGAACGGAAAGGCCCUGCUUUUGUGGGGUGCUCGAGUGGCGAACGGGUGAGUAACACGUGAGUAACCUGCCCUUGACUUUGGGAUAACUUCAGGAAACUGGGGCUAAUACCGGAUAGGAGCUCCUGCUGCAUGGUGGGGGUUGGAAAGUUUCGGCGGUUGGGGAUGGACUCGCGGCUUAUCAGCUUGUUGGUGGGGUAGUGGCUUACCAAGGCUUUGACGGGUAGCCGGCCUGAGAGGGUGACCGGCCACAUUGGGACUGAGAUAGGGCCCGGACUGCUACGGGAGGCAGCGGUGGGAGAUAUUGCACAAUGGGCGGAAGCCUGAUGCAGCAACGCCGGGUGCGGGAUGACGGCCUUCGGGUUGGAACCCGCUUUCGCCUGUGACGAAGCGUGAGUGACGGUAAUGGGUAAAGAAGCACCGGCUAACUACGUG
RNAcentral lists this ribosomal RNA (468 nucleotides) under uncultured bacterium. RNAcentral describes it as "partial 16S ribosomal RNA". It matches the Rfam family "Bacterial small subunit ribosomal RNA", at positions 28 to 507 of the family's 1533-position model. The record is from RNAcentral.